RNAcentral lists this small nuclear RNA (107 nucleotides) under Vulpes vulpes (red fox). The record is from RNAcentral. Lineage: Eukaryota; Metazoa; Chordata; Mammalia; Carnivora; Canidae.
GUGCUCACUUUGGCAGUACAUAGACUAAAAUUAGAAUGAUACAGAGAAGAUUAGCACGGCCCCUGCUCAAGGAUGGCAUGUAAAUUUGUGAAGCGUUCCAUAUUUAG